CUUGCUUUCUGCAAAAUUCGCCCAUCGUCUCCUUCUUCAUCACUUAAUCCUCGUGAUUUUUAUGAUUCACACUUGCUCCAUUAAGAUAAUCACAUGGUUGAAAGAAUCUUAUUCACAUGACUAUUGAGCCAUGCAUGCUUAAAGAAGUGAGAUGGACGAGAAACGAGCUACGCGUGAGCUAUAUCAGAUACCAUUGAUUGUACAACAAUCAUUAGAA
Non-coding RNA from Nicotiana tabacum (common tobacco), 217 nucleotides. Lineage: Eukaryota; Viridiplantae; Streptophyta; Magnoliopsida; Solanales; Solanaceae. The record is from RefSeq and is a predicted model, not a curated record.